This 594-nucleotide ribosomal RNA is filed under the name Calathus fuscipes graecus. RNAcentral's name for it is "eukaryotic LSU rRNA". It matches the Rfam family "Eukaryotic large subunit ribosomal RNA", at positions 413 to 821 of the family's 3401-position model. The record is from RNAcentral. Lineage: Eukaryota; Metazoa; Arthropoda; Insecta; Coleoptera; Carabidae.
CUGUUACUGUGUAGURCUCCMCUGUUUUAUGAUAUAUAGUUUAUAGCCGGAGGCGUGCACUUCUCCCCUUGUAGGACGUCGUGACCCAUUGGAUUAUGUUGUCUAAGGCUUAUAAUGGAGACCGUGGCAUUAAGUUUCGGCUUUAAUGACCCGGACUUAUAAUGUCCCGACAUCUAUCCGAUGGUAUAAUUAUGAUGAUAGAUCGCUAUAAAUGCGUAUGAGCGUUCAGAUCCAUAACAAAUUCUUUAUAUGUUAAUAAUAGUGGAAAUCGGAUUUAAUGCCGAUUCUACACAUAUGGUAUUGAUAGUUGUGGUAUUCUCGAACCGUUCUUUAUCAUCAGUCAACGGCGUUUAUGUUUUGGGUAAUUACAGGACCCGUCUUGAAACACGGACCAAGGAGUCUAGCAUGUGCGCAAGUCAUUGGGACUUUGUGAAACCUAAAGGCGUAAUGAAAGUGAAAUAUUUGUGAAUUUUCGUAAUUCACUGAAUUUAAGGGAAGAUGGGUAACGUUUUUUAUGUUACCUCGCAUUCCCGGGGCGUCGCGUACUUAUUGCAAGUUGCGGCGCACCAAGAGCGUACACGCUGGGACCCGAAA